AUGAAGUUCUUCCUCCUCUGUUUCCUCCUCUGUUUUGGCCUCAAGCCUGCGUUUUUCACUGCAGCAAGCGAUGACCAACUCUUGUACCAUGGCUUCACAGCCGGUACCAACCUCACCGUCGACGAGGCUGCUUCAGUCACGCCGAACGGACUCCUUGAGCUAACCAAUGGCUCGCUUGGUUGCAAAGGUCAUGCGUUCUACCCAACUCCGUUGCACUUCCGCAAAUCGCAUAAUGAUACAGUGCAAUCUUUCUCAGUCGCCUUCGUGUUUGCCAUCCACUCUAGCUACCCCAUCAUGAGCCGACAGGGCUUGGCUUUCGUUGUCGCCCCAAGCAUGAACUUCUCAACUGCAUUGGCCAACCAAUACUUGGGCCUCAUGAACUCCCAGAACAACGGCAACUUGAGCAACCACAUCUUCGCCAUCGAGCUAGACACCGUCCUAAACAUCGAGUUCAAAGACAUCAACACCAACCAUGUAGGUAUUGACAUCAACAGCCUCCAGUCUAUAGAGUCCAACUCUGCAGGAUAUUAUGAUGAUAGGAACGGUACCUUCCAAGACAUGGUUCUUGCUAGUGGUGAUGCAAUUCAAGUGUGGGUGGACUACAAUGGUGAAGCCAAGAAAAUCAGUGUGACCAUGGCUCCCCUUCAAAUGGCAAAACCUACAAGGCCACUCAUAUCGACAAAUUAUGACCUCUCGAGUGUGUUGCAAGAUCCAUCCUACAUCGGCUUCUCAUCUUCAGGUGGAGAGGUCGACUCAAGACAUUAUGUACUUGGUUGGAGUUUUGGGAUGAACAAACCAGCCCCACUGAUCAAUUCUGUGAAGCUGCCAAAACUACCUCAGCCAAAGCAUCAAUCAAAGCUGCUGAAAAUCAUCCUACCUAUAGCGAGCGCAAUCUUCGUAUUUGCUGUGGGUUCUAUGGUCAUUUUACUAGUGAGGAGAAAAUUGAGGUAUGCUGAGCUAAAAGAAGAUUGGGAGAUCGAGUUCGGGCCACAUCGGUUCUCAUACAAGGAUUUGUUCCAUGCCACAGAAGGAUUUAAGAACAAACACCUACUUGGUGCAGGAGGAUUUGGGAAGGUAUAUAAAGGGGCCCUUCCAUCAACAAAACUAGAGGUUGCUGUGAAGAGGGUAUCGCACGAGUCCAGACAGGGUCUAAAGGAGUUUGUUGCUGAGGUUGUCAGCAUUGGCCGCAUCCGACAUCGUAACCUUGUUCAGUUACUUGGCUAUUGUAGGAGAAAAGAUGAACUCCUUUUGGUGUAUGACUACAUGUCAAAUGGUAGCCUUGAUAAGUAUUUGUAUUGUGAUGAUCCAAUGCUUAUACUAAACUGGGUUCAGAGGUUUCGGAUAAUAAAGGAUAUUGCAUCAGGCUUGCUGUACCUCCAUGAAAAAUGGGAGAAAGUGGUCAUCCACCGUGACAUCAAAGCAAGCAACGUACUCCUUGAUAGUGAAAUGAAUGGGAGGCUAGGUGACUUUGGCCUUGCAAGACUUUAUGAUCAUGGAACUGAUAUGCAGACCACACAUGUGGUUGGUACCAUUGGGUACCUAGCCCCAGAACUGAUAUGCACAGGUAAGGCAACUCCUCUCACUGAUGUGUUUGCCUUUGGGAUUUUCCUUCUUGAGGUUGCCUGUGGGCAAAGGCCAGUUAACAGCAAUGCACGAGCAAAUCAACCUUUGUUAGUUGAUUGGGUUCUUGAGCAUUGGAAUAAGGGAUCACUGGCUGAGGCAGUAGAUACGAGGUUACAGAAUGACUAUAAUGUUGACGAGGCAUGCCUAGUGCUAAAGCUAGGACUACUAUGUGCACACCCAUUUACCAAUGCAAGGCCCAACAUGCAGAGUAUCAUGCGGUACCUUGAUGGCGAUUUGCAAUUCCCUGACUUAACAGAUACAGACAUGAGCUUCAGCCUGCUCUCUCAAAUGCAGGGUGAAGGGUUUGACCGUUAUGCAUUGUCAUAUCUUUCAUUAAACACGAGCAUUGGCACAAUAUCUGGUCUUUCAGGAGGAAGAUGA
RNAcentral lists this ribosomal RNA (2004 nucleotides) under Triticum aestivum (bread wheat). RNAcentral describes it as "partial small subunit ribosomal RNA". The record is from RNAcentral. Lineage: Eukaryota; Viridiplantae; Streptophyta; Magnoliopsida; Poales; Poaceae.